RNAcentral lists this ribosomal RNA (492 nucleotides) under uncultured bacterium. RNAcentral describes it as "partial 16S ribosomal RNA". It matches the Rfam family "Bacterial small subunit ribosomal RNA", at positions 29 to 507 of the family's 1533-position model. The record is from RNAcentral.
AGUGAACGCUGGCGGUAGGCCUAACACAUGCAAGUCGAACGGCAGCACAGUAAGAGCUUGCUCUUACGGGUGGCGAGUGGCGGACGGGUGAGGAAUACAUCGGAAUCUACUUUUUCGUGGGGGAUAACGUAGGGAAACUUACGCUAAUACCGCAUACGACCUACGGGUGAAAGCAGGGGAUCUUCGGACCUUGCGCGAUUGAAUGAGCCGAUGUCGGAUUAGCUAGUUGGCGGGGUAAAGGCCCACCAAGGCGACGAUCGGUAGCUGGUCUGAGAGGAUGAUCAGCCACACUGGAACUGAGACACGGUCCAGACUCCUACGGGAGGCAGCAGCGGGGAAUAUUGGACAAUGGGCGCAAGCCUGAUCCAGCCAUACCGCGUGGGUGAAGAAGGCCUUCGGGUUGUAAAGCCCUUUUGUUGGGAAAGAAAAGCAGCAGGUUAAUACCCCGCUGUUCUGACGGUACCCAAAGAAUAAGCACCGGCUAACUUCGUG